GAUGAAGAACGUAGCGAAAUGCGAUAAGUAGUGUGAAUUGCAGAAUUCAGUGAAUCAUCGAAUCUUUGAACGCACAUUGCGCCCUUUGGUAUUCCAAAGGGCAUGCCUGUUCGAGCGUCAUUUGUACCCUCAAGCUUUGCUUGGUGUUGGGCGUCUUGUCUCUAGCUUUGCUGGAGACUCGCCUUAGAGUAAUUGGCAGCCGGCCUACUGGUUUCGGAGCGCAGCACAAGUCGCACUCUCUAUCAGCAAAGGUCUAGCAUCCAUUAAGCCUUUUUUUCAACUUUUGACCUCGGAUCAGGUAGGGAUACCCGCUGAACUUAAGCAUAUCAAUAAGCGGAGGA
RNAcentral lists this unclassified non-coding RNA (341 nucleotides) under soil metagenome. RNAcentral describes it as "partial contains 5.8S ribosomal RNA, internal transcribed spacer 2, and large subunit ribosomal RNA". The stretch from base 1 to 120 matches the Rfam family "5.8S ribosomal RNA", at positions 35 to 154 of the family's 154-position model. The record is from RNAcentral.